Molecule: ribosomal RNA, 274 nt
Filed under: uncultured bacterium
Lineage: Bacteria
Description: partial 16S ribosomal RNA
Rfam family: Bacterial small subunit ribosomal RNA
Source: RNAcentral
AUACGGAGGGUGCAAGCGUUGUUCGGAAUCACUGGGCGUAAAGGGCGCGCAGGCGGUUUGGUAAGUCAGAUGUGAAAGCCCACGGCUCAACCGUGGAAGUGCAUUUGAAACUGUCAGACUUGAGUACUAGAGGGGAAAGUGGAAUUCCCGGUGUAGAGGUGAAAUUCGUAGAUAUCGGGAGGAAUACCGGUGGCGAAGGCGACUUUCUGGCUAGAUACUGACGCUGAGGCGCGAAAGCGUGGGGAGCAAACAGGAUUAGAUACCCCGGUAGUCC